RNAcentral lists this non-coding RNA (94 nucleotides) under pig gut metagenome. RNAcentral describes it as "THF riboswitch". It matches the Rfam family "THF (Tetrahydrofolate) riboswitch aptamer". From Rfam's summary of the family: THF riboswitch presents a pseudoknot that joins P1-P2 and the loop of P3 and two THF binding. The record is from RNAcentral.
GCAGAGUAAACAAGGCGCGUAAAGUGUUGCAGAAUGGGAUGUUGUCUGCAAACGAAAAUCGACUUGCGAUUGCGGUGUCUUGUUGCGUCCGUUG